UCUACAGAGUGAGUUCUAGGAUAGCCAGGACUACACAGAGAAACGCUGUCUUGAAAAAACAAAAAUCAUAAAACAAACAAACAAAAAGAAUGAGUAGAUCAUAAGUACCUCAAGACAUUACUUCUAACUGCCUUUGUAAUAUUUUUAUCUUAAUUUUUCAUCCUAUAACAUUUGAGUGUCUUAUCAUAUUAGAAAAACUGUUUACUAUUAUAUUGGCAAAAUCAUGGCUCUUGUCUCAGGUGGGUACAUAUGAUGACUAGUUUCCUGUAGCCCAGAUUUAGCCCCAGUGGCCUGGAACUACUAUGUAGACCAGGCUGGCCUUGAACUUACAGCAAUUCUCCUGCCUCUCUUUCCCUUAUUUUUAGUCUUUAGAAACAAUAUUACAUUUUACUUUUGAAAAUUGUGAGUGAAUAUUUGUGUUUAAGACAACAAACUCCCAAUAGGUGGGUAUUUCACAUAAAAAUUUUAAACACAAGUUAAACUGGCAAAUUUUGCCUUAUAUCUUAGCAGGAAUAGUACCAGCAAUAUGUAUACAUGUUUCUAAUGGAUAUGUUGUCAAUAAAGUAUGGGUAAUUCAGGUGUUUCUGGGACUUGUUGCUGAUAUAUAGAGAAAAAUUAAGAUUAUAUUCAUAUAUAAAAUUGCAUCUUUGUAAUGAGAAACAUCAUACAUUUAUAAAUUCCUCUCUCUGCCCAUCCAUUUAUCCAUCCAUCUAUUCAUACAUACAUACAUACAUACAUACAUACAUACAUACAUAUAUACAUACAUAUACAACUAGCUAACUCUAUCCGUUCAUUCAUAUAUACAUGCACCUUUCUGCCCUAAACAGGACAAAUUGAAGAUUUAUGCUUUGGUGAAAAGUCCAUGUCUAAACUUAAAACCUCACAUGGUUUGUUGAAAUUGCCUGAGGCUACUGAAACAUAAAUAAGAGAUGCAACUGUCCAUGUAGUGCCACACAGAUACUUUCUUAUAAAUACAAAGCCCUGCAGAACUUCUUCAGUGCUGCCCCUUGGAUACUCAGUGCGUUCCACGGCUCUCUCUGAUUAUUUUCUUUGUCAAUAUACUCUGUCUUCAUUGGAACCAAUAAACAUUGCAUUCAAGGAUUUUCUGAUGAAAAUUUUGCAUAACAGAGUGAGAUGAAAUUUUGAAAAUAGCUUAAUUGCUAUCCCAGAUAAUAAAAGUAGCCAGUUUGCCUUACUAUGCAGAUCCCCAGAGACCUGCAUUUCUGUUUGAGAGCUAACUAUAUCUAUUAUUGUUGUGAGAUUUUUAAAUGAUACUUCCUCCAGGAUUAGCUUUAAGAUUACUCCCAACUAAAGUAUCUUAAGGAACAUAUGGAAUCAAGUUUGAAGCUACAAAAUAUUCUCUACUUACUACCACAUAAAUCUACAC
This 1387-nucleotide long non-coding RNA is filed under the name Mus musculus (house mouse). RNAcentral describes it as "long non-coding RNA chr6:14909066-14910453". The record is from RNAcentral. Lineage: Eukaryota; Metazoa; Chordata; Mammalia; Rodentia; Muridae.